RNAcentral lists this long non-coding RNA (2390 nucleotides) under Homo sapiens (human). RNAcentral describes it as "HSALNT0174224". The record is from RNAcentral. Lineage: Eukaryota; Metazoa; Chordata; Mammalia; Primates; Hominidae.
GGAAGACUGGUCUGACCCUCAUGAGAUGUUGUGUGAUUAAAACACAGAUAUAUUUUGUUCCAUUUUUACUCUAGGGCUUAUGAUAUAGUCUGGAUGUUGUCCCCUUUAAAUCUCAUGUUGAAUUUUAAUCCCCAGUGUUGGAGGUGGGGCCUGGUAGGAGCUGAUUGGAUCACGAAGGCCAAUUUCUCACAAAUAGUUUAGUGCCAUUCCUCUUGGCACUGUCCUUGGAAUGACUUGGGGUGCUGUCCUCACAAUAAUGAGUUCUAACAAGAUCUGGCUGUUUAAAAGUUUGUAGCACCUCUGCCCUCACUCUCCUGCUCCCAUUCUGGAUGGCUCCCCCUUUGUCUUCAGACAUGACUGUCAACUUUCUGAGGCCUCACCAGAAGCUAAGCAGAUGUCCACUGCCCACGCUUUCUGUACAGCCUGCAGAACCAUGAGCCAGUUAAUCCUCUUUUUUUUUUUUGUAAAUUGCCCAGUCUCCAGUAUUUAUUCAUACUAGUGCAAAAAUGGCCUAAUAGAGCUUAUUUUUACUGUAGGCCUAAUACGGCCUUUCCAGACUAAUUAAAUGGGAGAGUUCCCAGGCCCUCCUUGCAGGAUGUGUGACAGGGAUGUGGCUCGCCUGUUUGGUUGCCUGCUGCAGGAGCAUGCAGAUGGGCAGGUGAAGAAGCUGGGGGCAAGGGCUUUGGGCUACAGCCCUGUGGUAGGGUGGAUGCCUGCAACCCAUGUUACAAUGCUUUCUUAGCCUUGCCAUCCACAGAUGGCUUUAAGGGUUAAAGCCCUGUCACAAAGGCAGAGGGCCAGUGUGACAGCUUUCUGUAUCCUUGACAGCUUUCUGAUAUCUCUUGACCAUCAUCCCAGAAAAAUUUGGCUCACACGGGCUCGACGAAUGAAUGUGAGGUUUACUCAGUGGUGGAGGUGGCUCUCAGCAGGGUAGAUGGGGAGCCAGAAUGUGGGGAUGGAGUGGGAAGAUGAUCUUCCCCUUGAGUUGGACUGUCCAGCAGCUGAACUCCUCCCCAAACGCCAUCAGCCAAACUCCUCUGUAGUCCCAGCUAACUCAAGUGGCUGAGAAAGGAGGAUCCCUUGAGCCAGGGAGGUUGAGCUAGGGAGGUGAGCCCUGAUCACACCACUGCACUGCAGCCUGGAAGACAAAGUGAGACCCUGUCUCAAAAUCAAUAAAUACUUAAAUUACUAUCUUCUGCUAAGGUUUACACUAUAGAUGCAGGAAAAAAAAUGUCCUCACACUGUCUGUCUGAUUGUGGCAGCUGAGAUUGAAUAGAGAAAUAUAGGGGUAAAAUAAAAAGAACUUGUAUGUAUAAAGACCAUGAGUUGAAAAGAAACACAUUGAAUUUAAACUGCUGAAAGAAGGCCACUGUGGCUGAAAAGGAAUUAAGUGGUUCAAGAUGAGUGUAGUGAGGUAGGCAGGGGAUGCAUUAUGAAGGGCUUUUGUGACCUUAUGAUGAAUAUUACAAGAAAAAUAAAUCACUACAGUAUCUAGACAAAGGAAUGGCAUACUUUAAUUCAUAUUUGAAAUGCGAAUAAAUUACUUGACGAAAGAGAGUGAAUGCUAGGAGAACAGUUUGGAGGUUCAAUCAUGCUUGUUCAGGGAAUAAAAAUUAAAGACUAGUUAUAUGGGGAGAGGAGAACAAAUUGUGUGAUUUUUGGAUAGAGAGGUGUUAUUCCCAAGAUUCUGUCUUUCACAGCUAAAUUGAGGGUAAUGGAUCCACUAAGAUGUCCUUGAGCUAUUUCCAUUAAAAUAGCAAUUCAACCUGCCCUCUGACGUAUACAGAUAUCUCUAGUUGAAGAAUAAUAUCUCCUUGCCUUAUUUUACAAAACUCAUCUCUUAAGCAUAUCGCAUUCCUGUACAUCAAAUGCACUGUGACUUACCUAAUUUCUUAUUAGAAUUAGAUGUAUUCUACAAGCUAGGUUUCCUAAGUUGCCAGUCUUAUGUUCAUUGUAGCACAAUCCACUACAUAAAACACAUCUUGAUUGUGUCUAUUUCCCCCCCAAAAAAAACCUUUAAAACUGACAUUUGCUUACCAAUUAGGAUUAUAAUUAUUUUGUGGCAUAUUGUAGGUAUUAAAUUUUAUCCACCCUCCUUUCCUGUUUUUAACAGUUAUGGUUUCAUUAUACUUUAGUAAUUAAAAAUUAUUUGAACUUGUAUACAAUAUUUUACUGAGAUCCAUCAUUUAUGUUAUCUACUCUGAAGUCUUUACUGCUUGUAUAUCUUUUCUUGCAACAUUUCCAGUCCACCUGCUAUGGCAGUUCCUCUCCAUGGAACUUAACUACUCAACAGAAUGAAAGCUCUUCUCCCUUUUUCAAUAUCAUUUUCCUUGGUUCACUCCAACUUCUGCCUUCAAAUAGCAUCUAGUCACUGAUGAUUUUAAAUGGGC